GAUAGUACCUUACUACUUGGAUAACCGUGGUAAUUCUAGAGCUAAUACAUGCUAAAAACCCCAACUUCGGGAGGGGUGUAUUUAUUAGAUAAAAAACCAAUGCCCUUCGGGGCUCCUUGGUGAUUCAUGAUAACUUCUCAGAUCGCAUGGCUUUACGCCGGCGACGGUUCAUUCAAAUUUCUGCCCUAUCAACUUUCGAUGGUAAGGUAUUGGCUUACCAUGGUUUCAACGGGUAACGGGGAAUUAGGGUUCGAUUCCGGAGAGGGAGCCUGAGAAACGGCUACCACAUCCAAGGAAGGCAGCAGGCGCGCAAAUUACCCAAUUCCGAUACGGAGAGGUAGUGACAAUAAAUACUGAUACAGGGCUCUUUUGGGUCUUGUAAUUGGAAUGAGUACAAUUUAAACCUCUUAACGAGGAACAAUUGGAGGGCAAGUCUGGUGCCAGCAGCCGCGGUAAUUCCAGCUCCAAUAGCGUAUAUUAAAGUUGUUGCAGUUAAAAAGCUCGUAGUUGAACCUUUGGCCUGGCUGGCAGGUCCGCCUCACCGCGUGCACUUGUCCGGCCGGGCCUUUUCUUCUGGAGAACCGCAUGCCCUUCACUGGGUGUGUUGGGGACCAGGACUUUUACUUUGAAAAAAUUAGAGUGUUCAAAGCAGGCCUUUGCUCGAAUACGUUAGCAUGGAAUAAUAGAAUAGGACGUGCGGUCCUAUUUUGUUGGUUUCUAGGACCGCCGUAAUGAUUAAUAGGGACAGUCGGGGGCAUCAGUAUUCAAUUGUCAGAGGUGAAAUUCUUGGAUUUAUUGAAGACUAACUACUGCGAAAGCAUUUGCCAAGGAUGUUUUCAUUAAUCAGUGAACGAAAGUUAGGGGAUCGAAGACGAUCAGAUACCGUCGUAGUCUUAACCAUAAACUAUGCCGACUAGGGAUCGGGCGGUGUUUCUAUUGUGACCCGCUC
RNAcentral lists this ribosomal RNA (949 nucleotides) under Paraconiothyrium fuckelii. RNAcentral describes it as "SSU rRNA". It matches the Rfam family "Eukaryotic small subunit ribosomal RNA", at positions 123 to 1081 of the family's 1831-position model. The record is from RNAcentral. Lineage: Eukaryota; Fungi; Ascomycota; Dothideomycetes; Pleosporales; Didymosphaeriaceae.